RNAcentral lists this transfer RNA (72 nucleotides) under Stegodyphus mimosarum. It matches the Rfam family "tRNA". From Rfam's summary of the family: Transfer RNA (tRNA) molecules are approximately 80 nucleotides in length. Their secondary structure includes four short double-helical elements and three loops (D, anti-codon, and T loops). The record is from Rfam by way of RNAcentral. Lineage: Eukaryota; Metazoa; Arthropoda; Arachnida; Araneae; Eresidae.
UCCCUCGUAGUGUAACGGUAGCACACUCGGCUCAUACAUAUGAGGUCCACGGUUCGAGUCCUGGCGAGGGCA